AUCCUUGCAAGAUUGCAGGAUAGAUCAAAUAUGACACUGCAUUUCCUUUGCUGAAACUCCAACACCUUGUAACUUUCCUGCAUCUCGCGAACUGAAACUGAAAAUUCCGUCAUUGCCCAACUCAGAGUGUUGAACAAAUGAUUCAGAAAGGUAGAAAAUAGUUCUUCAUCAUGCAAGCAAACCUCUCGCAAUAAUUUCUGAUAUAUAACUGAUGAAGAGGAAGAUGAUUCUCCACGUUUUGAUGAUCCAAAGCCUGAACCUUUGCACAAACGGAGAAGUAUAUUUGUUACAGGAAUCCAUGAUCUACUGUCAAAAGUAGAUAGUAGUGCUUUAGGCAUUCUCUGCAUUGCGGCUUCAUUACAUUCUAAUUCAGACAAGAACUCCUUGUACUGCACCAAGAUAUAAAUAGACUGCAGAAGAAGAUCUCGCAACUCCACACUCGAUAUCCUUGGAUCAUUGAAGUGGGUGACAACAAAAGUAACAAAGGAUGUGAGUCCUUGCUUGAGAAAUAUUGUAGCAGGCACAAAAGGAGGAUCACUUUUACGAAGUACGUGGAAGCAGUCCACCAAAGUUUCCAAAUAGUACUCAGGAAUAUAAAGGAAGACUGAGUCAUCUUUGCUAAGAAUUAAAAGCAACUGAACAAUCCACAUGCACGCUGCAUACAUCCCCCUCUGCUUCCACCGAGAAAAUAGAGAAAUACGAUACCAAGCACAAUGUCUGACACAAUCCAUUACUUCUUCUCUAUAUACACCACGAACCUCCUUCAGGCGCUUUACAUGCUCCCUGUUAACGUUUUCUCUGAUCUGCUUAUCAGUUUCUUCCAGAAGAGAGAUAGACUGUGAUUGCCGAUUCAUAUACAAUGAUGCCUGCUUGAAAUUGGGUGCAAGACCUAAAUGGUACAGCAAAAGCAUGGUAUCCAGUAGCUCCUCUUCUUUUAGUGUUGCUGAAGAAACAUUGUUCUCUCUGGGAACAUAUCUCAUUUGCUGCAUAGGAAGGAAGCCAAACUCUGAAUCCGACUGAUCACUCGUGCUUGGUUUAUCUGCAAUAUCAUCAUUCAAACUACUGGUGCUGCAUUCUGCAGCAACAUGAGCA
Molecule: unclassified non-coding RNA, 1092 nt
Filed under: Hevea brasiliensis (rubber tree)
Lineage: Eukaryota; Viridiplantae; Streptophyta; Magnoliopsida; Malpighiales; Euphorbiaceae
Source: RNAcentral